Molecule: ribosomal RNA, 1105 nt
Filed under: Escherichia coli
Lineage: Bacteria; Pseudomonadati; Pseudomonadota; Gammaproteobacteria; Enterobacterales; Enterobacteriaceae
Description: partial 23S ribosomal RNA
Rfam family: Bacterial large subunit ribosomal RNA
Source: RNAcentral
GGGACACGUGGUAUCCUGUCUGAAUAUGGGGGGACCAUCCUCCAAGGCUAAAUACUCCUGACUGACCGAUAGUGAACCAGUACCGUGAGGGAAAGGCGAAAAGAACCCCGGCGAGGGGAGUGAAAAAGAACCUGAAACCGUGUACGUACAAGCAGUGGGAGCACGCUUAGGCGUGUGACUGCGUACCUUUUGUAUAAUGGGUCAGCGACUUAUAUUCUGUAGCAAGGUUAACCGAAUAGGGGAGCCGAAGGGAAACCGAGUCUUAACUGGGCGUUAAGUUGCAGGGUAUAGACCCGAAACCCGGUGAUCUAGCCAUGGGCAGGUUGAAGGUUGGGUAACACUAACUGGAGGACCGAACCGACUAAUGUUGAAAAAUUAGCGGAUGACUUGUGGCUGGGGGUGAAAGGCCAAUCAAACCGGGAGAUAGCUGGUUCUCCCCGAAAGCUAUUUAGGUAGCGCCUCGUGAAUUCAUCUCCGGGGGUAGAGCACUGUUUCGGCAAGGGGGUCAUCCCGACUUACCAACCCGAUGCAAACUGCGAAUACCGGAGAAUGUUAUCACGGGAGACACACGGCGGGUGCUAACGUCCGUCGUGAAGAGGGAAACAACCCAGACCGCCAGCUAAGGUCCCAAAGUCAUGGUUAAGUGGGAAACGAUGUGGGAAGGCCCAGACAGCCAGGAUGUUGGCUUAGAAGCAGCCAUCAUUUAAAGAAAGCGUAAUAGCUCACUGGUCGAGUCGGCCUGCGCGGAAGAUGUAACGGGGCUAAACCAUGCACCGAAGCUGCGGCAGCGACGCUUAUGCGUUGUUGGGUAGGGGAGCGUUCUGUAAGCCUGUGAAGGUGUGCUGUGAGGCAUGCUGGAGGUAUCAGAAGUGCGAAUGCUGACAUAAGUAACGAUAAAGCGGGUGAAAAGCCCGCUCGCCGGAAGACCAAGGGUUCCUGUCCAACGUUAAUCGGGGCAGGGUGAGUCGACCCCUAAGGCGAGGCCGAAAGGCGUAGUCGAUGGGAAACAGGUUAAUAUUCCUGUACUUGGUGUUACUGCGAAGGGGGGACGGAGAAGGCUAUGUUGGCCGGGCGACGGUUGUCCCGGUUUAAGCGUGUAGGCUGG